ACAAGCGGUGGAGCAUGUGGUUUAAUUCGAUGAUACGCGAGGAACCUUACCUGGGCUCAAAUGUAUGUUGACGUAUUCUGAAAGGGAUACUUCUUCGGACAAUAUACAAGGUGCUGCAUGGUUGUCGUCAGCUCGUGCCGUGAGGUGUCGGGUUAAGUCCCAUAACGAGCGCAACCCCUAUCAUUAGUUGCCAUCAGGUCAAGCUGGGGACUCUAAUGAAACUGCCUACGCAAGUAGUGAGGAAGGUGGGGAUGACGUCAAAUCAGCACGGCCCUUACGUCCAGGGCUACACACGUGCUACAAUGGCCGGUACAAAGGGCAGCUACCCGGUGACAGGAUGCUAAUCUCAAAAGCCGGUCUCAGUUCGGAUCGGAGUCUGCAACCCGACCCCGUGAAGCUGGAAUCGCUAGUAAUCGCGCAUCAGCCAUGGCGCGGUGAAUACGUUCCCGGGCCUU
This 455-nucleotide ribosomal RNA is filed under the name uncultured Sphingobacteriales bacterium. RNAcentral's name for it is "bacterial SSU rRNA". It matches the Rfam family "Bacterial small subunit ribosomal RNA", at positions 925 to 1382 of the family's 1533-position model. Lineage: Bacteria; Pseudomonadati; Bacteroidota; Sphingobacteriia; Sphingobacteriales. The record is from RNAcentral.